Molecule: unclassified non-coding RNA, 204 nt
Filed under: Hevea brasiliensis (rubber tree)
Lineage: Eukaryota; Viridiplantae; Streptophyta; Magnoliopsida; Malpighiales; Euphorbiaceae
Source: RNAcentral
GAGCGGACAGGGAAGAGAGUUUUCGCAUGGAACACAGAUGCAUGGGGUUACGGUCCUGGAACUACAUCCUUGUAUCAGUCACAUCCUUGGGUGCUAGCUAUUACUCCAAAUGGAGAAGCAAUGGGUGUUCUUGCUGACACCACACUGCGUUGUGAGGUUGAUCUGAGGAAGGAAUCAAUAAUUCAAUUCAUUGCUUCAGCCUCA